RNAcentral lists this ribosomal RNA (602 nucleotides) under Pichia membranifaciens. RNAcentral describes it as "partial 26S ribosomal RNA". Lineage: Eukaryota; Fungi; Ascomycota; Pichiomycetes; Pichiales; Pichiaceae. The record is from RNAcentral.
UUCAAGACGGGCGGUAUUGCGCCGUUGUGCCAGCAUCCGAGACUGACCACGCAGUCCUCGGUCCCCGCACGCGGUAUCUGGCGCCGGCUAUAACACUCCGAAGAGCCACUUUCCGGCACCCAUUCUCCCGCAGCAAGAACCGAUGCUGGCCCAGAGAGCGCCCAGAGCGCCGCCUACAAGAGACAGCGGUGCGCACUCCCCAUGUCGGGCCCAAUACCCUUCCCUUUCAACAAUUUCACGUGCUGUUUCACUCUCUUUUCAAAGUGCUUUUCAUCUUUCCUUCACAGUACUUGUUCGCUAUCGGUCUCUCGCCAGUAUUUAGCCUUAGAUGGAAUUUACCACCCACUUGGAGCUGCAUUCCCAAACAACUCGACUCGUCAGCAGGGCCUCAGAGCUUCGCACGGCACCCCACGGGGCUCUCACCCUCUCAGGCGCCCUGUUCCAAGGGACUUGGACACCGUGCUCCACAAAGACUCCCGCCUACACUCUACAACUCGUGCCAAAAAAAUUAGCACGAUUUCAAAUCUGAGCUCUUGCCGCUUCAGUAGCCGCUACUGGGGCAAUCCCUGUUGGUUUCUUUUCCUCCGCUUAUUGAUAUGCAA